AGAAUCAACGCUGGCGGCGUGCCUAACACAUGCAAGUCGCACGAGAAAGGGGAGCAAUCCCUGAGUACAGUGGCGCACGGGUGAGUAACACGUGAAUAAUCUACCUCCGAGUGGGGAAUAACUGAGAGAAAUCUUAGCUAAUACCGCAUAAUACCCACGGGUCAAAGCAGCAAUGCGCUUGAGGAGGGGGUCGCGGCUGAUUAGCUAGUUGGCGGGGUAAUGGCCCACCAAGGCGAAGAUCGGUA
Molecule: ribosomal RNA, 245 nt
Filed under: uncultured bacterium
Lineage: Bacteria
Description: partial small subunit ribosomal RNA
Rfam family: Bacterial small subunit ribosomal RNA
Source: RNAcentral